AAUCAACGCUGGCGGCGUGCCUCAGACAUGCAAGUCGAACGAUUAAACUUUCCUUCGGGAAAGAUAUAAAGUGGCGCACGGGUGAGUAACACGUAAGUAAUCUACCUUCGAGUGGGGAAUAACGUCCGGAAACGGGCGCUAAUACCGCAUAAUGCAGCGGCAUCGCAAGAUGACAGUUGUUAAAGGAGCAAUCCGCUUGAAGAGGAGCUUCGCGGCAGAUUAGCUAGUUGGUAAGGUAACGGCUUACCAAGGCUACGAUCUGUAUCCGGCCUGAGAGGGCGGUCGGACACACUGACACUGAAUAACGGGUCAGACUCCUACGGGAGGCAGCAGUCGGGAAUUUUGGGCAAUGGGCGAAAGCCUGACCCAGCAACGCCGCGUGAGGGAUGAAGUAUUUCGGUAUGUAAACCUCGAAAGAAUAGGAAGAAUAAAUGACGGUACUAUUUAUAAGCUCCGGCUAACUACGUG
RNAcentral lists this ribosomal RNA (468 nucleotides) under uncultured bacterium. Its description in RNAcentral is "bacterial SSU rRNA". It matches the Rfam family "Bacterial small subunit ribosomal RNA", at positions 32 to 507 of the family's 1533-position model. The record is from RNAcentral.